Molecule: transfer RNA, 74 nt
Organism: Plesiocystis pacifica SIR-1
Lineage: Bacteria; Pseudomonadati; Myxococcota; Nannocystales; Nannocystaceae
Rfam family: tRNA
About the family: Transfer RNA (tRNA) molecules are approximately 80 nucleotides in length. Their secondary structure includes four short double-helical elements and three loops (D, anti-codon, and T loops). Further hydrogen bonds mediate the characteristic L-shaped molecular structure. tRNAs have two regions of fundamental functional importance: the anti-codon, which is responsible for specific mRNA codon recognition, and the 3' end, to which the tRNAs corresponding amino acid is attached (by aminoacyl-tRNA synthetases). tRNAs cope with the degeneracy of the genetic code in two manners: having more than one tRNA (with a specific anti-codon) for a particular amino acid; and 'wobble' base-pairing, i.e. permitting non-standard base-pairing at the 3rd anti-codon position.
Source: Rfam
CGGGGCGUAGCGCAGUCUGGUAGCGCACUUGACUGGGGGUCAAGGGGUCGAAGGUUCGAAUCCUUUCGCCCCGA